UGCAUAGGCCGGGAAUCAAACCCGGGCCGCCCGCAUGGCAGGCGAGCAUUCUACCACUGAACCACCGAUUGUUAUGC
This 77-nucleotide transfer RNA is filed under the name Cordylochernes scorpioides. RNAcentral's name for it is "tRNA-Gly". The record is from RNAcentral. Lineage: Eukaryota; Metazoa; Arthropoda; Arachnida; Pseudoscorpiones; Chernetidae.